This 292-nucleotide ribosomal RNA is filed under the name uncultured bacterium. RNAcentral describes it as "partial 16S ribosomal RNA". It matches the Rfam family "Bacterial small subunit ribosomal RNA", at positions 333 to 639 of the family's 1533-position model. The record is from RNAcentral.
UGUUCCCUACGGGGGGCAGCAGUGGGGAAUAUUGCACAAUGGGGGGAACCCUGAUGCAGCGACGCCGCGUGGGUGAAGGAGUAUUUCGGUAUGUAAAGCUCUAUCGGCAGGGAAGAAAAAAAUGACAGUACCUGACUAAGAAGCCCCGGCUAACUACGUGCCAGCAGCCGCGGGAAUACGUAGGGGGCAAGCGUUAUCCGGAUUUACUGGGGGUAAAGGGAGCGUAGGCGGCCACGCAAGUCAGAAGUGAAAACCCGGGGCUCAACCCUGGGAGUGCUUUUGAAACUGUGCG